UUAAGCGACUAAGCGUACACGGUGGAUGCCCUGGCAGUCAGAGGCGAUGAAGGACGUGCUAAUCUGCGAUAAGCGUCGGUGAGGUGAUAUGAACCGUUAUAACCGGCGAUUUCCGAAUGGGGAAACCCAGUGUGUUUCGACACACUAUCAUUAACUGAAUCCAUAGGUUAAUGAGGCGAACCGGGGGAACUGAAACAUCUAAGUACCCCGAGGAAAAGAAAUCAACCGAGAUUCCCCCAGUAGCGGCGAGCGAACGGGGAGGAGCCCAGAGCCUGAAUCAGUGUGUGUGUUAGUGGAAGCGUCUGGAAAGGCGCGCGAUACAGGGUGACAGCCCCGUACACAAAAAUGCACAUAUUGUGAGCUCGAUGAGUAGGGCGGGACACGUGGUAUCCUGUCUGAAUAUGGGGGGACCAUCCUCCAAGGCUAAAUACUCCUGACUGACCGAUAGUGAACCAGUACCGUGAGGGAAAGGCGAAAAGAACCCCGGCGAGGGGAGUGAAAAAGAACCUGAAACCGUGUACGUACAAGCAGUGGGAGCCUCUUUAUGGGGUGACUGCGUACCUUUUGUAUAAUGGGUCAGCGACUUAUAUUCUGUAGCAAGGUUAACCGAAUAGGGGAGCCGAAGGGAAACCGAGUCUUAACUGGGCGUUAAGUUGCAGGGUAUAGACCCGAAACCCGGUGAUCUAGCCAUGGGCAGGUUGAAGGUUGGGUAACACUAACUGGAGGACCGAACCGACUAAUGUUGAAAAAUUAGCGGAUGACUUGUGGCUGGGGGUGAAAGGCCAAUCAAACCGGGAGAUAGCUGGUUCUCCCCGAAAGCUAUUUAGGUAGCGCCUCGUGAAUUCAUCUCCGGGGGUAGAGCACUGUUUCGGCAAGGGGGUCAUCCCGACUUACCAACCCGAUGCAAACUGCGAAUACCGGAGAAUGUUAUCACGGGAGACACACGGCGGGUGCUAACGUCCGUCGUGAAGAGGGAAACAACCCAGACCGCCAGCUAAGGUCCCAAAGUCAUGGUUAAGUGGGAAACGAUGUGGGAAGGCCCAGACAGCCAGGAUGUUGGCUUAGAAGCAGCCAUCAUUUAAAGAAAGCGUAAUAGCUCACUGGUCGAGUCGGCCUGCGCGGAAGAUGUAACGGGGCUAAACCAUGCACCGAAGCUGCGGCAGCGACACUAUGUGUUGUUGGGUAGGGGAGCGUUCUGUAAGCCUGUGAAGGUGGCCUGUGAGGGUUGCUGGAGGUAUCAGAAGUGCGAAUGCUGACAUAAGUAACGAUAAAGCGGGUGAAAAGCCCGCUCGCCGGAAGACCAAGGGUUCCUGUCCAACGUUAAUCGGGGCAGGGUGAGUCGACCCCUAAGGCGAGGCCGAAAGGCGUAGUCGAUGGGAAACAGGUUAAUAUUCCUGUACUUGGUGUUACUGCGAAGGGGGGACGGAGAAGGCUAUGUUGGCCGGGCGACGGUUGUCCCGGUUUAAGCGUGUAGGCUGGUUUUCCAGGCAAAUCCGGAAAACCAAGGCUGAGGCGUGAUGACGAGGCACUACGGUGCUGAAGCGACAAAUGCCCUGCUUCCAGGAAAAGCCUCUAAGCAUCAGGUAACAUCAAAUCGUACCCCAAACCGACACAGGUGGUCAGGUAGAGAAUACCAAGGCGCUUGAGAGAACUCGGGUGAAGGAACUAGGCAAAAUGGUGCCGUAACUUCGGGAGAAGGCACGCUGAUAUGUAGGUGAAGCGACUUGCUCGUGGAGCUGAAAUCAGUCGAAGAUACCAGCUGGCUGCAACUGUUUAUUAAAAACACAGCACUGUGCAAACACGAAAGUGGACGUAUACGGUGUGACGCCUGCCCGGUGCCGGAAGGUUAAUUGAUGGGGUUAGCGGUAACGCGAAGCUCUUGAUCGAAGCCCCGGUAAACGGCGGCCGUAACUAUAACGGUCCUAAGGUAGCGAAAUUCCUUGUCGGGUAAGUUCCGACCUGCACGAAUGGCGUAAUGAUGGCCAGGCUGUCUCCACCCGAGACUCAGUGAAAUUGAACUCGCUGUGAAGAUGCAGUGUACCCGCGGCAAGACGGAAAGACCCCGUGAACCUUUACUAUAGCUUGACACUGAACAUUGAGCCUUGAUGUGUAGGAUAGGUGGGAGGCUUUGAAGUGUGGACGCCAGUCUGCAUGGAGCCGACCUUGAAAUACCACCCUUUAAUGUUUGAUGUUCUAACGUUGGCCCGUAAUCCGGGUUGCGGACAGUGUCUGGUGGGUAGUUUGACUGGGGCGGUCUCCUCCUAAAGAGUAACGGAGGAGCACGAAGGUUGGCUAAUCCUGGUCGGACAUCAGGAGGUUAGUGCAAUGGCAUAAGCCAGCUUGACUGCGAGCGUGACGGCGCGAGCAGGUGCGAAAGCAGGUCAUAGUGAUCCGGUGGUUCUGAAUGGAAGGGCCAUCGCUCAACGGAUAAAAGGUACUCCGGGGAUAACAGGCUGAUACCGCCCAAGAGUUCAUAUCGACGGCGGUGUUUGGCACCUCGAUGUCGGCUCAUCACAUCCUGGGGCUGAAGUAGGUCCCAAGGGUAUGGCUGUUCGCCAUUUAAAGUGGUACGCGAGCUGGGUUUAGAACGUCGUGAGACAGUUCGGUCCCUAUCUGCCGUGGGCGCUGGAGAACUGAGGGGGGCUGCUCCUAGUACGAGAGGAC
Molecule: ribosomal RNA, 2664 nt
Filed under: human gut metagenome
Description: bacterial LSU rRNA
Rfam family: Bacterial large subunit ribosomal RNA
Source: RNAcentral